GAUGAACGCUAGCGGCAGGCUUAAUACAUGCAAGUCGAGGGGCAGCGCAGUGUAGCGAUACAUGGGCGGCGACCGGCAAACGGGUGCGGAACACGUACGCAACCUUCCUUUAAGUGGAGAAUAGCCCAGGGAAACUUGGAUUAAUACUUCGUAACAUUAUGAGAUGGCAUCAUCUUAUAAUUAUAGCUCCGGCGCUUAAAGAUGGGCGUGCGUCUGAUUAGGUAGCUGGCGGGGUAACGGCCCACCAAGCCUGCGAUCAGUAACUGGUGUGAGAGCACGACCAGUAACACGGGGACUGAGACACGGGCCCGAAUCCUACGGGAGGCAGCAGUAAGGAAUAUUGGUCAAUGGACGCAAGUCUGAACCAGCCAUGCCGCGUGGAGGAUGAAGGUCCUCUGGAUUGUAAACUUCUUUUAUUUGGGAAGAAACCCGGGAUUUCUAUUCCGGUUGACGGUACCAGAUGAAUAAGCACCGGCUAACUCCGUGCCAGCAGCCGCCGCCG
RNAcentral lists this ribosomal RNA (502 nucleotides) under uncultured bacterium. RNAcentral's name for it is "partial 16S ribosomal RNA". It matches the Rfam family "Bacterial small subunit ribosomal RNA", at positions 28 to 523 of the family's 1533-position model. The record is from RNAcentral.